RNAcentral lists this transfer RNA (64 nucleotides) under Rhynchothorax sp. JZ-2022. RNAcentral describes it as "tRNA-Trp". The record is from RNAcentral. Lineage: Eukaryota; Metazoa; Arthropoda; Pycnogonida; Pantopoda; Tanystylidae.
GAUUUUAAGUUAAUUAAAAACUGUUAGCCUUCAAAGUUAAAUAUAAAUAUUAUUAUUUAAAUCU